This 254-nucleotide ribosomal RNA is filed under the name uncultured bacterium. Its description in RNAcentral is "partial 16S ribosomal RNA". It matches the Rfam family "Bacterial small subunit ribosomal RNA", at positions 524 to 776 of the family's 1533-position model. The record is from RNAcentral.
UACGGGGGGAGCAAGCGUUGUUCGGAUUUACUGGGCGUAAAGGGCGCGUAGGCGGCCAGCACAAGUCAGUUGUGAAAUCUCCGAGCUUAACUCGGAAAGGUCAACUGAUACUGUGCGGCUAGAGUGCAGAAGGGGCAACUGGAAUUCUUGGUGUAGCGGUGAAAUGCGUAGAUAUCAAGAGGAACACCUGCGGCGAAGGUGGGUUGCUGGGCUGACACUGACGCUGAGGCGCGAAAGCUAGGGGAGCGAACGGG